CAACCGCUCCGAACAAUCGCGCGGUAUCAUACCGAAAGGUCAUAUCGUGAGGAAAGUCCGGGCUCCACAGAGCAGGAUAACAGAUAAUGUCUGCCGAAGGCGACUUCAGGGCUAGUGCAACAGAAAUAAACCGCCCCGCCGUACGAAUUAUUUUGUGCGUGUGUGGUAAGGAUGGAAAGGCGAGGUAAGAGCUCACCGGCGUACAGGCGACUGUACGGCCAUGUAAACCCUAUCCGGAGCAACACCGCAGGAGAGCUUAAUGCUUGCUCGGCAGCUCUCACAGGUGGCAAGGAGGUAAGUGGCGACACUUAUCCAAGAUAGAUGAUUGUUCAAGACAGAACCCGGCUUAUAGGGGCGUGUUGCAUU
This 366-nucleotide RNase P RNA is filed under the name Firmicutes bacterium HGW-Firmicutes-21. Its description in RNAcentral is "RNase P RNA component class A". It matches the Rfam family "Bacterial RNase P class A". From Rfam's summary of the family: Ribonuclease P (RNase P) is a ubiquitous endoribonuclease, found in archaea, bacteria and eukarya as well as chloroplasts and mitochondria. Its best characterised activity is the generation of mature 5'-ends of tRNAs by cleaving the 5'-leader elements of precursor-tRNAs. Lineage: Bacteria; Bacillati; Bacillota. The record is from RNAcentral.